RNAcentral lists this ribosomal RNA (2331 nucleotides) under Campylobacter jejuni. RNAcentral describes it as "partial 23S ribosomal RNA". It matches the Rfam family "Bacterial large subunit ribosomal RNA", at positions 1 to 2196 of the family's 2925-position model. The record is from RNAcentral. Lineage: Bacteria; Pseudomonadati; Campylobacterota; Epsilonproteobacteria; Campylobacterales; Campylobacteraceae.
AAAAGGUAAGCUGCUAAGAGCGAAUGGUGGAUGCCUUGACUGGUAAAGGCGAUGAAGGACGUACUAGACUGCGAUAAGCUACGGGGAGCUGUCAAGAAGCUUUGAUCCGUAGAUUUCCGAAUGGGGCAACCCAAUGUAUAGAGAUAUACAUUACCUAUAUAGGAGCGAACGAGGGGAAUUGAAACAUCUUAGUACCCUCAGGAAAAGAAAUCAAUAGAGAUUGUGUCAGUAGCGGCGAGCGAAAGCGCAAGAGGGCAAACCCAGUGCUUGCACUGGGGGUUGUAGGACUGCAAUGUGCAAGAGCUGAGUUUAGCAGAACAUUCUGGAAAGUAUAGCCAUAGAGGGUGAUAGUCCCGUAUGCGAAAAACAAAGCUUAGCUAGCAGUAUCCUGAGUAGGGCGGGACACGAGGAAUCCUGUCUGAAUCCGGGUCGACCACGAUCCAACCCUAAAUACUAAUACCAGAUCGAUAGUGCACAAGUACCGUGAGGGAAAGGUGAAAAGAACUGAGGUGAUCAGAGUGAAAUAGAACCUGAAACCAUUUGCUUACAAUCAUUCAGAGCACUAUGUAGCAAUACAGUGUGAUGGACUGCCUUUUGCAUAAUGAGCCUGCGAGUUGUGGUGUCUGGCAAGGUUAAGCAAACGCGAAGCCGUAGCGAAAGCGAGUCUGAAUAGGGCGCUUAGUCAGAUGCUGCAGACCCGAAACGAAGUGAUCUAUCCAUGAGCAAGUUGAAGCUAGUGUAAGAACUAGUGGAGGACUGAACCCAUAGGCGUUGAAAAGCCCCGGGAUGACUUGUGGAUAGGGGUGAAAGGCCAAUCAAACUUCGUGAUAGCUGGUUCUCUCCGAAAUAUAUUUAGGUAUAGCGUUGUGUCGUAAUAUAAGGGGGUAGAGCACUGAAUGGGCUAGGGCAUACACCAAUGUACCAAACCCUAUCAAACUCCGAAUACCUUAUAUGUAAUCACAGCAGUCAGGCGGCGAGUGAUAAAAUCCGUCGUCAAGAGGGAAACAACCCAGACUACCAGCUAAGGUCCCUAAAUCUUACUUAAGUGGAAAACGAUGUGAAGUUACUUAAACAACCAGGAGGUUGGCUUAGAAGCAGCCAUCCUUUAAAGAAAGCGUAAUAGCUCACUGGUCUAGUGAUUUUGCGCGGAAAAUAUAACGGGGCUAAAGUAAGUACCGAAGCUGUAGACUUGCGCACAACUUAGAUUAUUUAAGUUUAGAAUAUGAGAAACUAAGUUAUAUUUUUACUGAUUUUUAUAGAGUAAAGAUAGAAAUAAAACUUAGUAAAAUCAGUAAAAAUAUUCUUAGGCUAAAGUUAAGUAGUUUAAGUUGUGUGCAAGUGGUAGGAGAGCGUUCUAUUUGCGUCGAAGGUAUACCGGUAAGGAGUGCUGGAGCGAAUAGAAGUGAGCAUGCAGGCAUGAGUAGCGAUAAUUAAUGUGAGAAUCAUUAACGCCGUAAACCCAAGGUUUCCUACGCGAUGCUCGUCAUCGUAGGGUUAGUCGGGUCCUAAGUCGAGUCCGAAAGGGGUAGACGAUGGCAAAUUGGUUAAUAUUCCAAUACCAACAUUAGUGUGCGAUGGAAGGACGCUUAGGGCUAAGGGGGCUAGCGGAUGGAAGUGCUAGUCUAAGGUCGUAGGAGGUUAUACAGGCAAAUCCGUAUAACAAUACUCCGAGAACUGAAAGGCUUUUUGAAGUCUUCGGAUGGAUAGAAGAACCCCUGAUGCCGUCGAGCCAAGAAAAGUUUCUAAGUUUAGCUAAUGUUGCCCGUACCGUAAACCGACACAGGUGGGUGGGAUGAGUAUUCUAAGGCGCGUGGAAGAACUCUCUUUAAGGAACUCUGCAAAAUAGCACCGUAUCUUCGGUAUAAGGUGUGGUUAGCUUCGUACUAGGAUUUACUCCGAAAGCGAAGAAACUUACAACAAAGAGUCCCUCCCGACUGUUUACCAAAAACACAGCACUCUGCUAACUCGUAAGAGGAUGUAUAGGGUGUGACGCCUGCCCGGUGCUCGAAGGUUAAUUGAUGGGGUUAGCAUUAGCGAAGCUCUUGAUCGAAGCCCGAGUAAACGGCGGCCGUAACUAUAACGGUCCUAAGGUAGCGAAAUUCCUUGUCGGUUAAAUACCGACCUGCAUGAAUGGCGUAACGAGAUGGGAGCUGUCUCAAAGAGGGAUCCAGUGAAAUUGUAGUGGAGGUGAAAAUUCCUCCUACCCGCGGCAAGACGGAAAGACCCCGUGGACCUUUACUACAGCUUGACACUGCUAUUUGGAUAAGAAUGUGCAGGAUAGGUGGGAGGCUUUGAGUAUAUGACGCCAGUUGUAUAGGAGCCAUUGUUGAG